AACGAACGCUGGCGGCAGGCCUAACACAUGCAAGUCGAGCGAGGACUUCGGUUCUAGCGGCGGACGGGUGAGUAACGCGUGGGAAUGUGCCCUUCUCUACGGAAUAGCCCUGGGAAACUGGGAGUAAUACCGUAUACGCCCUAUUGGGGAAAGAUUUAUCGGAGAAGGAUCAGCCCGCGUUGGAUUAGGUAGUUGGUGGGGUAAUGGCCUACCAAGCCGACGAUCCAUAGCUGGUUUGAGAGGAUGAUCAGCCACACUGGGACUGAGACACGGCCCAGACUCCUACGGGAGGCAGCAGUGGGGAAUCUUAGACAAUGGGGGCAACCCUGAUCGAGCCAUGCCGCGUGAGUGAUGAAGGCCUUAGGGUUGUAAAGCUCUUUCAGCUGGGAAGAUAAUGUCGGUACCAGCAGAAGAAGCCCCGGCUAACUCCGUG
This 433-nucleotide ribosomal RNA is filed under the name uncultured bacterium. RNAcentral describes it as "partial 16S ribosomal RNA". It matches the Rfam family "Bacterial small subunit ribosomal RNA", at positions 29 to 507 of the family's 1533-position model. The record is from RNAcentral.